AUACGUAGGGUGCGAGCGUUAAUCGGAAUUACUGGGCGUAAAGCGUGCGCAGGCGGUUAUGUAAGACAGAGGUGAAAUCCCCGGGCUCAACCUGGGAACGGCCUUUGUGACUGCAUGGCUAGAGUGCGGCAGAGGGGGAUGGAAUUCCGCGUGUAGCAGUGAAAUGCGUAGAUAUGCGGAGGAACACCGAUGGCGAAGGCAAUCCCCUGGGCCUGCACUGACGCUCAUGCACGAAAGCGUGGGGAGCAAACAGGAUUAGAUACCCUGGUAGUCCACGCCCUAAACGAUGUCAACUGGUUGUUGGGAAUUAACUUUCUCAGUAACGAAGCUAACGCGUGAAGUUGACCGCCUGGGGAGUACGGCCGCAAGGUUGAA
This 375-nucleotide ribosomal RNA is filed under the name uncultured Comamonadaceae bacterium. Its description in RNAcentral is "bacterial SSU rRNA". It matches the Rfam family "Bacterial small subunit ribosomal RNA", at positions 523 to 898 of the family's 1533-position model. The record is from RNAcentral. Lineage: Bacteria; Pseudomonadati; Pseudomonadota; Betaproteobacteria; Burkholderiales; Comamonadaceae.